CCGGACGUGGAAGUUCAUCUGCAUGAUGUUGCCGACAAUAGACAGGCUCGGCGACCUCUGCACGAUCCAGCAGGUCACGCCAGUAACCACCUCCCCGAAGUAGUUCUCCGUCGGCAGGGCCAUGUCGCCGCCGUCGAAGUGCAGCACCAUGGUCGGGAAGGCGUCUCCGCUGGGGGGCGUCAGGAAGCAGACCUCGAACCCGGCCCUGCCCGGCGCUAAGGUGAGGUUCGUCGUCUGCGACAGGAGCGCCGCUUUCGCCAGCGAGUACGCCGGCUCCGCGAGGAACGCCACCGUCGUGCCGGAGUCGAAGAUGAUGCCGCCACUCCCGGUCCCCGGCGACGUCGCCGCGCCGAUCGAGAUGCUCUUCAGGUUGACGGUGUAGAAGCUGGGGCUGGCGCCCGAGAUAAGCGGCGUGGACUGGACGCCGGCACCCGUCAAGGCGCCGGAGCCGAACAGGAGAGGGCUCGCUUUGGAGGCGUCGCUGGCGAGGCAGUACGAGAAGGCGCCGGCGUUGAGCUGCGAGACGAGGGAUAGCGGCCCACGGCCGAGCCCGACGAGGCCGGAGCCGGUGCCGUAGCCGCCCUCCGACAUGUUCGUGCAGCCGAAGCCGAUUCCCGGCGCGGCGUCGCCGCCGAGCGUGAAGAUCUCGCUUCCGAGGUAACCCUGCGUGUAGUGGUGCGAGUCGGCGGCGAGGCCGUAGAGGUACCGGUAGUCGCACUCGGCGCCGCCGACGGCGCACGACGCGAGCGACUGGGAUUCCAGAUUACGGCAGAGGCCGCUGGAGCACGAUAGCAAGGAGAAAGACGAGGAGGUGUUCGGGUAGUAGGAUGGCGAGCCCUGCGGCGCGCACUGGGUGCACGGACCGCACUUGACCCAGAUGAGGUCGCUGCCGGUGUCGGCGAGCGCCGACAGCUUCUGCGGCGGUGUGCCGAUGGAGAAGUUCAUGUCGUAGGCGCCGCCGUCACCGUCAAGCUGCAGCGGGGCCUGCGCGCCGCCCGAGGUAGCGUCGAGCCGGUCGGCGAGCAUCGACAGCCGUUGGUGAGACUUAUGAGCAGCCCGUGUUAGGUUUAUGGCCGGUUCGAUGCGGGUCAUGGUGGCACGGAAGCUUUGGCGGCGUUCCGAGUAGGCCAGAGGAGCGGCGAGCAGGAAGAAGAUCGAGAAAACGAGGAUGGAUAGCCUUGGCGCCAUUCUUGGACUUCGAAGGGCUGCUAUACGUGCUGUGAUGAGGGAU
This 1231-nucleotide long non-coding RNA is filed under the name Setaria viridis. Its description in RNAcentral is "long non-coding RNA (SVIR_LNC009006)". Lineage: Eukaryota; Viridiplantae; Streptophyta; Magnoliopsida; Poales; Poaceae. The record is from RNAcentral.